UACGGAGGGUGCGAGCGUUAUUCGGAAUUACUGGGCGUAAAGCGCACGUAGGCGGUGCGGUAAGUCAGGGGUUAAAGGCUGCAGCUCAACUGCAGUAAGGCCUUUGAUACUAUCGUGCUAGAGUGUCAGAGAGGAUGGCGGAAUUCCCGGUGCAGCGGUGAAAUGCGUAGACAUCGGGAGGAACACCAGUAGCGAAGGCGGCCAUCUGGCUGAUAACUGACGCUGAGGUGCGAGAGCGUGGGGAGCAAACAGG
This 253-nucleotide ribosomal RNA is filed under the name uncultured microorganism. RNAcentral's name for it is "partial 16S ribosomal RNA". It matches the Rfam family "Bacterial small subunit ribosomal RNA", at positions 524 to 776 of the family's 1533-position model. The record is from RNAcentral.